Molecule: transfer RNA, 84 nt
Filed under: Candidatus Omnitrophota bacterium
Lineage: Bacteria; Pseudomonadati; Candidatus Omnitrophota
Also listed under: 1 other name
Description: Candidatus Omnitrophica bacterium tRNA-Leu
Rfam family: tRNA
About the family: Transfer RNA (tRNA) molecules are approximately 80 nucleotides in length. Their secondary structure includes four short double-helical elements and three loops (D, anti-codon, and T loops). Further hydrogen bonds mediate the characteristic L-shaped molecular structure. tRNAs have two regions of fundamental functional importance: the anti-codon, which is responsible for specific mRNA codon recognition, and the 3' end, to which the tRNAs corresponding amino acid is attached (by aminoacyl-tRNA synthetases). tRNAs cope with the degeneracy of the genetic code in two manners: having more than one tRNA (with a specific anti-codon) for a particular amino acid; and 'wobble' base-pairing, i.e. permitting non-standard base-pairing at the 3rd anti-codon position.
Source: RNAcentral
GCGGACGUGGCGGAAUUGGCAUACGCGUACGGCUUAGGACCGUAUCCCUUGUGGAUGAGAGUUCAAGUCUCUCCGUCCGCACCA